This is a small nucleolar RNA of Benincasa hispida (wax gourd), 72 nucleotides long. The record is from RefSeq and is a predicted model, not a curated record. NCBI's taxonomy places the organism in Eukaryota, Viridiplantae, Streptophyta, Magnoliopsida, Cucurbitales, Cucurbitaceae.
CUUUUGCCUAUGAUGGUGUUAAAUAUACUCUGAGAUUAGUUUCUGUGAAAAGAAUUCACUCUGAGGCGCAUG